This 409-nucleotide long non-coding RNA is filed under the name Nicotiana benthamiana. RNAcentral describes it as "long non-coding RNA (NBEN_LNC006471)". The record is from RNAcentral. Lineage: Eukaryota; Viridiplantae; Streptophyta; Magnoliopsida; Solanales; Solanaceae.
CUAGUUUGGUGUUGGGCGCACCUGUGAGUGUUAAUCGAAUCAUGUUUACCAAUUAUCUUUAAGAAUUUAAAGGUCCCAUUAUCCAGGAGGGUCUUAACAAUUUCAGAUCUAAAUUGUAUCCUCUAAAGGUAUUACUUGCACUAAAUCUCGUCAUCUAAGAGGGUCUUGAAACUACAUUCCAUUAUCUAGGAGGGUCCUGAAAACUCCUAGUUAAAUGAUAAUUUUAAAACUAAGCUAUAUCUUCUAAAUGUAUUACUUCCGCUAUAUUUUGUUAUCUAAGAAAGUAUAGAAAUUGCUUCGCAUUAUCUAGGAAGGUCCUGAAAAUCCAAAGUCAAUUUUCAUCUUAAGAGAGACAAGUCUUUAUGGAAGAAUUAUACUAUCCUACAGCAGAACUUAUGCUAAAUAUUGU